UACGGAGGGUGCGAGCGUUACCCGGAUUUACUGGGUGUAAAGGGCGUGUAGGCGGUCUUUCAAGUCCGAGGCUAAAGACCGUGGCUCAACCUCGGGAGUGCGUUGGAUACUGUGAGGCUAGACGGUCGGAGAGGUAAGCGGAAUUCUCGGAGUAGCGGUGAAAUGCGCAGAUACCGAGAGGAACGCCAAUAGCGAAGGCAGCCGCCUGGACGAUUUGUGACGCUGAGGCGCGAAAGCGUGGGGAGCAAACCGG
RNAcentral lists this ribosomal RNA (253 nucleotides) under uncultured bacterium. RNAcentral describes it as "partial 16S ribosomal RNA". It matches the Rfam family "Bacterial small subunit ribosomal RNA", at positions 524 to 776 of the family's 1533-position model. The record is from RNAcentral.